AACCCAUGUUGCGGACAGCUUGCGCACAUUUUCUUAAAUCUCUCCCAAUACUCAUGUAGAGUGUCAUUAUUCUUUUGUCCACUCCCACAAAUAUCUCUUCUAAUGCU
Molecule: non-coding RNA, 107 nt
Organism: Jatropha curcas
Lineage: Eukaryota; Viridiplantae; Streptophyta; Magnoliopsida; Malpighiales; Euphorbiaceae
Source: Rfam